GAAAAAAAAAAAGGAAAGAAAAGAAAAAAAAAUUAAAAUAAAUAGACCAUUCCAGAUGGUGAUCUACCCUUCCCCCCAAUUAUCACAAAAGGAGCUAUAAUCACUAAUUUAUUAAUAAUGGUUACUGGUACCUUUACAAUAAUGUACAAUCCAAUGUAAAAAAUUUAUACCACUUCAGUUUGGUUUGAUCCUAUAAAUUUUCAACAGAUGUCUUAAAAUUUAAAAGCAGGCUGAUUAGUUUGGAACCAGACUUCAAGUAGAGCUAACAUUUGGUGAAUAAGAAAACAUCACAUUACAUUUUGGAUGUAUGAAAGAAAACUUGACCAUUUGAAGAUGUAUGAAUAAAGAAAUGUACUAUAGAUACUACUUUAGGAAAACACUGUUUGGUAAGUGUUCCAGUCUGAUAUUUUAAGUGUGCAUUUCCUAUACUUGUAUAAAAAUCUUUGACAUUUGCAACAGUAUUGUGACUUUUAAGUGGAUUUCUGAACAUGAUCGUUGAAAGUUGAUACAGCAGUUUCAGGAAAUAAAUGCAUUCUUUGUAGAAUGAGGGGGUGGGAGAUUACAUAUUUACCUUUCAAAAUUUAUCAUUUCAUUUGCAAGUGUUUCUUCCCCUCCUGAGAUUAUAGUGAUUAUAUUCAGUGUCACAUUAAAAAAAAUCAACUUUCUUCCCGUACUGGGCUCCUCACAGUCACAAACUGUAAUUCCAACACCAUAAUCCUCUGUCAGUGGGAUAACUAAUGGAUGCUGUUCCUCUUUUGUUUUUUUCCUCCCACACUUAGGGUUAAAGUUGUAUAUAUGUUCUUGAUGGUAAUACUAUUUCAUAGGAAUGUUUUGGCUUACAUUUGGUACAUGUCUUAUUAUUUAAAAUUUCAAAAUCGAUUUCUUUUGUCAAAAUAGUGACUUUACUCAAAAACUUCUUUACUUAGAUCUGUGAUAUAUUUUUAUGUAGUCUCUUGUAUGUUGACUAUGUGCUAUUCUGAUUCAUUAGGUAAGUUUGUUUUCUUUUCUUUUUAGUAGUCGUGAAAGGUGCCAAAUUGGCAGAGGCUCACGUUUCUUCUCUUUACACCAAACAGCAGAGAGAGAUCAUCAUUGCCUGAAUUUAGCUUUGUGACUACAGCAGCAAGACCUGUUCCUGUCUGGAGACGACUGUUAUAAUAUCAUCCUAUCAUUUUAUGUUUGCUCUUUAUCAAUUUGAAUAGAUGUUUACAUGUACUAUAAUUCGCAUUUUGUCUUUUUGCAGUUCUCUAAUUGCUACAUCUGAGUCCAGAAGUAUGUCUGAGUGUGUGCUUUGUCUGACUUUGCUCUUAAACGUCUUCUCCCCUUACUUUAUAGCCAUUUAAUUUUUAAACACUAAGAAGGAAAAAGACCUCUUGGCUUCCUAAUAUGAGAUAAGUUCAGUCUCAGCCAAGUUGAAAAUUGUGUCUAGGAAAUCUAUAAAGCCAUGAUAUUGUGUUCAUUAGCAUGAACAAUUUAGAAUGAAGAAAAUGAUUAAAAAGUUAAGCAUCGGUCUGUUUUUAAUUUUUCCGGGUUUUAGGAUGCAUUUCUGGGGUUAGGAUAGUCACUUAAAUAAUUUUGAACAGAUGCUAAAAUACUUUUUUAUACACUGUAAUAACUUGCCUAUUUCUUCUAAAUAUACUUAACUGAAAUUGUUGCCAAGGCCACUUACCCAAAUAAUUUUUUUAAAAAGUUUCUUAGCUCUUCAAAGCCAACAAGGAGAAUAAUUUUCUUUUCAAGUAAUACAGGAUGAUCUGUGGAUUAUAAAUAUUGAGAAAUAUCUAUUAAAUGUCUAAUUUACACAGUUUUUCCAUAUUUUCCUCACUUGCAAUCAAGACAUCAAAGACAAUCUUAAAAGCAAGAGGAAAUUGUGUUGUGUGUCUAACGUUGUUUAAAAGAUGUAUGUUCAUAAUAUUUAUUUAUAAGCAAUAUGGGUUAGAAUUAUUUAUAAAGAAUGUGAUUAAAUCUGAUCCUAAAUAUUCACCCCAAAUACCUUUUUUUAUAAUGAGCAUCAUAUAAAGCUUUCAGAAAAUUAAUUUGAGUAUUCCUUCGUAGAUUCCCAUGAGGCAUUUGAGAAGUUGGAAAGUUAUACUUUAUUAGAAAAGCCCAAUUAUACUUGACUCUUUUCACCCUUGUUUUUUUAGUUUCUUUAAGCCAUGCUCAUAUUUUCACUUUUUUUUUUUGCGCAGUUGACUGUUAUGCAAACACUUUUUUCUUGAGUGUGCAGUGCAUUUGUCUUCAUGAAAAAUAAAAAGAAUGAACACAUCAAUCAUAAUGUAAAUUAUUUUGAUCCACAUUAGUUGAUAAUUGCUUUGUUAAUUUUAGGUUUGUGUUUAAAGGCAAAGUACAUAUAUUUCGGAAGGUCUUCUAAUAUAAUUAUGACCUAGUAGCAUACAGGACAUUUUUAAAAUUAGAUUUUUGUUUUAGUUCAAACUAGCAUGUUUGUUUAGUUGCAAACUAGCAUAUAGCCACAAGGAGUUCAGAGAUACUUUUCCCAAGUUAGUUCAAUAUUUUUUCUUUUCAAGGAAAGAAGGUUCUCUUCCCUGAUGGUAGUGACUUACUUGCUAGGUUAGAAACCCAAAGAACAUAGACUGAAGAGAGACCAUACUUGUUAACAGUUUUGAUUGGUUCUUGGAUGUGGACCAUAUACCAGCACCCUCAACAUUACUUUGUCAUCUUUCUUUUUCUUUCCCUUGCUUUUAAAUUAAAAGACAAAAUAAAGCAAAGCAAAAUUAAACAUGCCAUGGGGAAUCAGAAGUCGAGAUGAUUUGACUCUCAGCAAGAUCAUUGUACUUUUUGAAAAUUUCUAUGAGAGCCAAUAGGUCAGUUACAUAUUUAAAUUCCUAUGUGUUUAUUAAUUAAAGAUAAGGAUUUUCAUUAUUUUGUUUUCCUGAAUAGGAUUCUCAUGGAGCUAUGUGUAGAUAACUGUACAGAAUCACUUUUGUGUAAUUGAAUGAAGUGGUUUACCUCUGCAUGAUUGCAUUAUGGAAGCCUUUUAUAUAUCUUUAUAUUUUUCAAUAUACUUAGAUUUUACACUAUUAGCAGUUCUAGUCAUGCUAUAUUUGUUUUUUUUUAAAUAGAGUUUAUAAAUAUUUAUGCUCAAAAUACAGAUCAACUGAAUAUUUUUGGUCUUGUUUACAAGAUAAAUAAUACUUUAAAGUGAUGCAGCCCCUCAAGUGUCUUAGGAAAAAGUUAUUGGUGCUAAAAAACCUUUCAAUAUCAUUUUUGAACCUGUUAUCUAGACUUCGCUAGGCUUUAAUGUAUGAUCACUUGUGACUUACUCUAAUCUAACAGCAUAAAGUGGUCUGUGGUAAGUCAGGUAAAGAGCCCAGCCUGUUAGAAUUUAAAAAUAUGAUACAGAAUUACAGUACACUUAUUUGUGCCCAGCUUCCAAAAAAAGUAAGUAGUUUCUUCAGUUUGUCAUUAGCUCUUUUGAUAAGAAGAACUUUAAUCUGGCUAGAAUUUAAAAAAAAAAAAAAAAA
Long non-coding RNA from Enhydra lutris kenyoni (northern sea otter), 3476 nucleotides. RefSeq lists it as uncharacterized. The transcript has 2 exons. Lineage: Eukaryota; Metazoa; Chordata; Mammalia; Carnivora; Mustelidae. The record is from RefSeq and is a predicted model, not a curated record.